This 61-nucleotide transfer RNA is filed under the name Rhipicephalus haemaphysaloides. RNAcentral's name for it is "tRNA-Trp". Lineage: Eukaryota; Metazoa; Arthropoda; Arachnida; Ixodida; Ixodidae. The record is from RNAcentral.
AAGAUUUUAAGUUAAAAAAACUGUUUACCUUCAAAGUAAAAAUUAUUAAAAAUAAAUCUUA